CACCUACCCGCUACCCAUGGCGGGUAUGGAUUUCAUACCCACCACCCGCCUACUACCCGCCAAAGUUGUACCCAUCCCCGCCCCAACUGGGGCGGGUGCGGUGCGGUAUCCGCAAUUUUUUACCCACCUGCCAUCCCUAAUCAACAUCACGCAUCAUUCUUCACCAUCAUCACUAAUCACCAUAUUCAUCAUCAUACAUCCAUGGAAGCUUCUUGCAAGUUGCAAAUUCACUACUUAGCUUCUUCUACGUGUAAAUCUCUAAAUCAAACACCAUCAUCAAGCUCUCUCCACCAUAUGAUGCACCACCCAAAUCACCCAAUCAAAAUUGAUUCUCAAUCUGAAUAAUCACUCAAAUUCAUCUAUAAAUAGUGCAAGGAUUCAACACAAUUCAAUUCACAAAUCAAUUGCAAACCCAUCCUCAAAAUUUCAGAAAGUUUAAAUUCAAGAAAAUUCAUUUUAAAUUUCACAAAUAAACUCCCUGCUUCUCGUUGCUCCGGUCGACCACCACCGCGGCUCUGCCGCUGCGUCAGCCACCACCACCCUGCUUCUUCGACCUUCUUCCUUCUCCUCCCGCAGCCUUGUUCUCUCUUCCCUCCUCGCGUCUGCUUCUGUCUCUCCCUCUCUCGCAACUCUCUCUUGUCUCCCUCCCUUCUUGCUUCGGUCCACCGGAAACCACCACCACCAAAACCCGCAGCCACGACCACCUGCAGCGCCGCCCUCCCUGGCGCCGCGAACCACCUGCAUCUCCGCCUAACACCAGCCACACUCCGUCGCCUUCCUCCUUCGUCAUCUUUCAUCCCCCUGCCUCCCUCCUCUGCCUCCCUCACCCGCGACUCUCUCCCCAUCCCUGCAGCGUCGACACCACCAAAACCGCGGCCACCUCCUCCCCUCCCGCCUGCUGUGCCGCCCAAUCUAAGCCGUGCAACCACCCACGCAGCUCCCUUCCUUCUCCCCUUCUUUGUCGUGCUCCUGCUAUUGAGAGACCAAGUUGGUCUUUUGUUUUCUUUUUAAACCAAUUCCUAAAACAAUCAGUAAAUGAGUAACCCAAAGUCCAUUUUCUUGACCCAUUAAUGAAUUCGUUUCUCGGAAUUCAAGGCGAACGAUCCAUUAAAGUUAAUGAGUAAGAAUUACGUAUUGCGGUAUAAGGUACCGAAGAGGACAACAGGAUGGAUUAGUGGUGAGGACGUAUCCGUUAAAGCAAGAUUCGUUUCUCGGAAUUCAAGGCGAACGAUCCAUUAAAGUUAAUGAGUAAGAAUUACGUAUUGCGGUAUAAGGUAACAUCUAUUGCUAACACCCACAAUCCCCUUCGCAAAUGCGUUUAUGGAAAUGAUUUAUGAAUUUGAGAAAUGCUUUAUGAUUUACAACCAUGUUUAUGAUAUAAUUCUUGAUUGGAUUGUGGGAUGCCUUUUGAUUUCAAUAAUGAUUUUAUGAAAGUAUUAAUUAUUUCAAUGAGCUUUAGGAAGCAUGAUUUAUGAUUACGAAAUGAUAUUCUGUCAACCCAUGAAUAAGAAACGAAACAUGAUAAUGAAAAGUGAAAGACAAGGUUCUGGCAGUAUUUGAUCUGUUCUGUUCUGUUCUGAUUCUGAUUCUGAUUAUGGUCGUGCACGUACCCUCGUACCCCGCUACCCCAUAAUGGGUAACGUCUGUUUCUGUCUGAUUAUGAUGGUACGAUCUGGUGGGAGACGUCCUACAUUCUGUUCAUACUUGCCAGUAACCAUGAAUGAAUGUUUUUAAUAAUAUAAUGGAAAACUAUUAUAUUUCAUCUUAUUGUUUAUCUUGAAUUGCAAAAGAUUUUAUGAAAUGAUUUGCAAAAAGGUUUUACAAUAUUCUACUCUCAUUCUGUUUGCAAAUAAAAUGAAUUGAAAUGAAUUUACGUUGUUAGGGUAGUUGUUACUGGGCCUCGGCUCAUGAUAUUGCUUUUGGUUUUAGGUACCGAAGAGGACAACAGGAUGGAUUAGUGGUGAGGACGUAUCCGUUAAAGCAAGGUUAUUUAAGUUGAAUAAAUAAACUUAGUAGUUAAUUAUGUACUCAAACUCUAGCUUUAAUUCUAAGAAUUAUUACGGGUUGUAUUAUGACAAUUUAGUUAAUAUCACGAGUCUUUUGUUUCAUUAAUAUUAGUUUACUUUAAUAUUGAAUUAUGCGCCUUGCAUCUCUCAAUAGAGAGGUACGGCAUGUGACGCACCGACUAAAUUAGGAUUCCGCUGCUAAUUAUAGAUUAAUUAACUUAAUAAAAUUGAUUAGAAGUCGGGGCGUUACAGAUUGGUAUCAGAGCAAAGGUUCUGAGACCGAAAAAUGAAGCCUUGUGGGCUUUAUGCUAAUAAAUGCACUUUAGGAAUAAAAUGAAUUAAAAUAGG
This is a long non-coding RNA of Spinacia oleracea (spinach), 2354 nucleotides long. RefSeq lists it as uncharacterized. The record is from RefSeq and is a predicted model, not a curated record. NCBI's taxonomy places the organism in Eukaryota, Viridiplantae, Streptophyta, Magnoliopsida, Caryophyllales, Amaranthaceae. The transcript has 4 exons.